GUUGGAUAGGAGAAUAAUAUCAUGCGUUCCAAAUUUAUUUCUCGCACAUCUGGAAUCUCACCUUUCUGUCACUUGAUAAUCUUUCGAGACUUAUCACUCGAGAACGCGUGAUCGGACGAAAAUGCGGUUAGCACGUCGAUGACUUAUUUGGAUAGGAGAAUAGUAUCAUGCAUUUCAAAUUUAUUUCUCGCACAUCUGGAAUCUCACCUUUCUGUUACCUGCAAUGUCGAGGUUUAUCACUCGAGAACGCAUGAUCGGACGAAAAUGCGGUUAGCACGUCGAUGACUUAUUUGGAUAGGAGAAUAGUAUCAUGCAUUUCAAAUUUAUUUCUCGCACAUCUGGAAUCUCACCUUUCUGUUACCUGCAAUGUCGAGGUUUAUCACUCGAGAACGCAUGAUCGGACGAAAAUGCGGUUAGCACGUCGAUGACUUAUUUGGAUAGGAGAAUAAUAUUAUGUGUUUCAAAUUUUUUUCUCGCACACCUGGAAUCUUACCUUUCUGUCACCUGACGAUCUUUUGGGGCUUACGAUUAAAUGCGCUCAUUAAUUGUGCGUCUUAGGAAACGACAUGAAAGUACGAUGAAAUGCUUGCCAAGCUCUAGGAUUAGUUUUGGGUCACAACCCAGACUCAAUAUUACCAUCUUCUUGGAAGUUCUAAUUUCAAAGUCCGCACUAACGUCGCAUGGACAUUGUCCUCAUGUAAUUAUUACAGCGAAUAUACCAUGACAUUAUGGAGAAGCGUCAUUUCAGCCUUUGAAAAUGCUCAGUACGUUCCAAGCUAUGUAGAAUAUUCGCAUCAAGUCAUGCUGAUUGAACGACUAUGUCUUACUCUCUGCCGCUUGCACAGAAGAAACAGAGUUGCAAAAUCUUUGGAUGGAAAUUGGUGAUCAUGUGGGGAAAGUUUCUAAUCUCAUGAAAAAGUACCAGAUAGAAACUGUGCUGCCUGAAAAACUAGGGGAUUUAAUUAAAGCAAGAGCACAAUUGGAGCAACAUACAAAGAAUGCUCGAGACGUUGAAAAUCGUCAAAUUGCUUAAUUAUUGGGAAAUAUAUUU
Odontomachus brunneus is the source of this 1051-nucleotide long non-coding RNA. RefSeq lists it as uncharacterized. The transcript is spliced from 5 exons. Lineage: Eukaryota; Metazoa; Arthropoda; Insecta; Hymenoptera; Formicidae. The record is from RefSeq and is a predicted model, not a curated record.